AUGCUAAUGGGGGAAGAGAGAAGCCUCAAUGAAGGUGGUUGUCCGUGGUGAGGCCCAUCCAAUGUCCUCCAGAUGUAAUGGUCCCUGAGAUUCCUCCCAUUGUGAGAAACUCAGCUACACAAUUUGUGGUGGUGGGAACUCCUU
Tupaia belangeri (northern tree shrew) is the source of this 144-nucleotide small nuclear RNA. Its record names the gene U1. It matches the Rfam family "U1 spliceosomal RNA". Rfam says of the family: U1 is a small nuclear RNA (snRNA) component of the spliceosome (involved in pre-mRNA splicing). Its 5' end forms complementary base pairs with the 5' splice junction, thus defining the 5' donor site of an intron. NCBI's taxonomy places the organism in Eukaryota, Metazoa, Chordata, Mammalia, Scandentia, Tupaiidae. The record is from Ensembl.